RNAcentral lists this ribosomal RNA (313 nucleotides) under Ancistrona vagelli. Its description in RNAcentral is "partial 12S ribosomal RNA". Lineage: Eukaryota; Metazoa; Arthropoda; Insecta; Psocodea; Menoponidae. The record is from RNAcentral.
CUAUCUAUUUGAGCGGAGUCAUGCAUAAUGCCUUUGAAGAAGUAGAAAAUUAAAUCAAACCUUAAUACAGACAUGGCGGUAAGACAUCCACUCAGAGAAAUAUGCCAAUUAAAUUGAUAAUACCCACUGCAUUGUACUUAACCUUGAAAUCCAUCCUGUAUACCGCCGCCUAAAGGCUAGCUUAGUAGUGCUAGUCUAAACCAAGCUUGACUUGAAUAAGACAGGUCCAGGUGCAGACCAUGGUUAAGGGUUAGGCGUAUUGCUUCAAAAAAAUUAAUGGAUCUAUAAUAUGAAAAUACAUAGUGAAUUGAGG